Molecule: long non-coding RNA, 1442 nt
Organism: Mus musculus (house mouse)
Lineage: Eukaryota; Metazoa; Chordata; Mammalia; Rodentia; Muridae
Product: predicted gene 15984
Exons: 4
Source: RefSeq, a predicted model, not a curated record
ACUAACUUUCAAAAAGCAUCUCACCUCACUUCUCUCAGGGGUUUUAAAAAGAAUCAGAUCAACGUCACCAACAAGUAGAGGCCGGAUUAAUAAUCAGGAAACAAAAAUGAUUAAAUAUCUGGCCGAGAUAACGUUGCUGGCCAUGGAGUAAGACUGGCGCAGACAUCUCUACUCUCAGAGUGUUACUCUGGACUGAGCCAACUCUACAGCCAUCUACCCUGAAAUGCUCAAAUGACUGAUGGCUCAUCUCUAUCAACACCAUUGAAGCUCUCUGCUGAAUGUGCACAUCACAAGUUCAUGCACAUCUCUGGGCAAGAAACAAGGACCGUAGUCAAGACAAGCCACUGAAAACAGUUUGCAAAUGGGGCCAUUUCCACAGUUGCAUCCGAGAUACAGAAAAACCAUAGAGAAUGUGGAUGUGAAGGAUGACCUCAUGCCACGGAUGCACAGAUAAAAUUCAGCCUGGGAAGGGAAAGAGAAAAAGAGGCUUGGAUACACCAUGCACAAAACCAUCUCCCAUGGCUUCUCCUUGAAAAGUGCUCUCAGCAGGUGAGGUGAGCCCUUGAGCAAUGACAGCCCUGACUUGCAUACAAGCCAACCUUCCAUUGGAUCUGGGGGACUCUGCAGCUGAUGGCCUGUGUGCUGUAUGGCUUGGAGAGACUACGCAGCCAUGUAGAGCCUCUGCCUUUAGCUGGUAAAGUAUUGUGCCCUUUUGUUAAGACUUGGUAAGAGGUCUUUGACUGUUUUUUUUUUCCAUACCAGUAACUGUUUAGAUAAGAUAAAUACAUUACUUCACUACUCCACUGCCCAGCUAUGAAAUCCCUAGCUACUCGUGGCUCCUCCAGACCACAUGGGUCAGCUCCAUCUUCAUCUCCUCCCUCCAUCUUGUCUCCCUCCAUUUUGUCUGACCCUGUCCUUCUCCCCUUCCCUUCCUGUUCCGCCCAGAAGAUCCUACCUCCAUAUCUUCGCCCAGUGAUUGGUUUCCUGUUGUCUUUAUCAGCCAAUCAAAUAACUAGGGGAAAUUCCCCUAUGCUCUAGACCCCUUCUCCUUCUAACACUCUAAACUGUGGGCCAGGCCCGAUAUAAGGUGGUAGGUACCUUCAAUUGGAGAACUCAAAGCAGAGAAUGACAAAAAUUGUUCCCUGUGUUAGACUCCAAGUGGAGUUAGCAGAAGAGCAGAUGAAUCCUAACUUGCCGUGAGGGGCAGUCAGGCUGUGCAAGGCUGAGAAAGUAUUCCUGCACAAGAGAUUUGGGAGCAUCCGAAGCAGCUGCUAGGUGGAGCUUUCACUUGUAUCCCUUUCUGUACGUGUGCGCUCAUUUCCCCACAGUUCCUUGUUUCUCCCCCAGUGUCCCUGUCCCACAGAGGAUACUGACAUCACCAGUUACCGAGGGCUUGGAGCCAGGGAGACGUUCAGUCUCCUUUCUUUCUUUCUUUCUUUCUU